UGGGAGGCUCCGGCGAGGGAGG
Molecule: unclassified non-coding RNA, 22 nt
Filed under: Chlamydomonas reinhardtii
Lineage: Eukaryota; Viridiplantae; Chlorophyta; Chlorophyceae; Chlamydomonadales; Chlamydomonadaceae
Description: small RNA Cre_3363
Source: RNAcentral